UCGUUUCAUCGUGCCACAUUAAAACACAACGUUUUAUAGCCGUGAAGGGGGCAAACGUUGGUGUGAAUGUUUUGAUUGUUCAACAAGUCCGACAAAAAAAAAAAAAGUUGCUCAGUUGUUAGAGAGCCGGGUGUUGUGCUUGGCCCGGGGACUCUGUUGACAACUGUUGAGCUGGACACAGCAAGUCAUUACCCGAAAAAAUGAAUCACGGUGGAAAGAUUUUCUGUGACUGUGUGAGAUUCACGAGAAGAGCGAAAGGAUACAGGCAAAAUAUUCCAGCCCCGCUAACCAGGCAACUACGGGGAACAUAAAAUGAGUCAUAGUGAGCUGAGCUGGCUUAUUUAGACAAUGUGUGUGUGUGUGCGUUUGUGUGUAAAACUGGAUUAUUCUGGUUGGAUUUUGGGAAGAAGGCUCACUCAUUUCUGUUUGUCUCUCGCACUACGUCAGUUUCGUCUGUAAUUGCCCCCGUUGCUCAGUCUUCCUCUCAUAAACAUGUAGUGUCACCCACCUACAUUCACUCACACACACACACACACAUACGAGAGCAAAAACAGCAACUUUUGACACACACGCACAUUUUUUCCUACAAGUGUCAUAGCAAAAUAAGGAACUGAGGCAACUCACUUUUGAAUCAUUGUAAUUACCUGUACUGAGGUAGGCAGUAAAAACAGUUGUUAAACAUUGUCACCUCCAUAGAAGUCUGUUGGCUUGUAUCCAGAUAUGUGUGUGUGUGUCUGUGUGUGUGUGCAUGUGGUGUUAUGCAUUGUAUAUGUACUAUUUUAUCAGUGACAACAGUCAACAUUAACCCUUUAAAAUGUCAUUCCACUUAUGCUCAGUGCUCAGUUGAGCAAACUUGGCACUCGAUGGACCUUGAUCCACCCUCCCGUCCCCUGUUAAACUUUUAUGUGCUAGUUUUGUCUCUGCUGACAAAGAAGAAAAAACAAGUUCAGAAGACGGUUGAAAGAUGCUGAUAGGGGACCACGACCUGUACUUUGAUACCCUGAUCACAUGGAAGGCGUGUCACAUCUUAAGUUUGGCAAAUGUUGGCAAAACGCUCCUAACUAGCUAAUGUGUUACUUUUAGCUAAGGUUAGACCCAAGAACGUUAGCUAACGAACAGAAAUUAAUUACUGUUAGCCAAAAAAAUGUUGUGACAUUAUAUAGAUGGCAUUAUCUCUGAGGAAACGUCACGUUGUAUGUCACAUCUUAGCUAAUGUUAGUUAUAAAUGCUACCUAACUUGCUAGCUAACUGUUUGCUAACAUUACAUCAAGGGGAGUUCGCCUAAUGUGCGAUCACCGACGCCAGCCAGGUUUGCUUCCAUCUUAUUUUUGCGGGAAGACCAAAAAAUAUUUGGAAAUGGACAGAGGUUGGGUUGUGACGUUGUUUUAAUUAUCAUUAGCCAGGAAACACAGCUAAAAAAGGUUACGUCACAAUGUUAAGUCACAUUAUAUUAGAUGCCAAGAUCUUUAAGACACAUCAUAUUGUACAUUCACAUUUUUUUGUUAGCUAAUGUGUAACUUUUAGCUACUAACGUUAUAUCAAGAGGAGCUAGCCAAAUGUCAGCAACGUUAGGCAGGGUUGCUUUCUCCCUAGUCACGUGGAAAAGACUUGGGGAAAUAAAAAAACAGAUAGGUUAGUUGUUGACACAUUUUUAACAUGAAUAAGCUAGAAAACAAAGGUUACAAAAGUCAUUAAAAUGUAAAGAUACAUUGUUAAGAUUCAGUGAUCUUCACGGGCACAUCACAUUCUGCAGUCACACUUAGCUGACGUUAGCAAACUGCUACCUAACUUGCUAGGUAAAGUUUAACUGUUAGCUAAUGUUACAGAAAAGCUAGUGUAAUGUUGGCCAGGUUUGCUUCCUCCUUGUCUCUGUAUUGACGUUCAAAUGAUUACAAACAGACAAACAGGUCUGCUUUGGACUUAUUUUUAAUAUGACAGACAUGAAUUAUCGGUACCCAGACGACAAAGGUAUCACUAUGUCAUUAGAUAGAUGCCACGAUCUUCACGGGCACAUCACAUUGUAUAUAGUCACAUAUUAGUUUGGCUAACGUGUAAUGGUUGGCUAACGUUACAUCAAGAGGAGUCUAUUCUAGUUUUGCUUCCAUCUCAUUAAGAUUCUGGUUAGCUAGCUAGAAGACAUCAAGGCUUCUCUUGUUUUGUCGAGACUGGAAUGACUUUUCAUUAAUACACAGUUUUGCCCUGAUCAUAAAACGAAUCAUUAUGAAAAUAUCGUACUGUACUCUUCCAUUGCGUACUGUAUUCCUUGCUCUCGGCUUCUUGGAGCCAUAUGGUGAAGUCCUCCAUCUCUUUCUCAAUCUCUCUCUCACACACACACAAACACACACACACCCAUUCUCUUACACAAAGACACCUCACUCACUGUUUCUCAUACACACACUAUCACCAGUCAAGCCGUAAAAAGUCAACUCAAUUAAAGUGCCUCAUUUCCUGGAAGCCAGCCUCAGACAGAAUAGUAGGUAUGCAGGGAAUGGGACCUGUGUGCGUGCGUGUGUGUGUGUAUGUGUGUGUGUGGAGUAUAGAAAACUGAACUCACCCUCUGCUUAAUUUUACCAGCAGCAAUUUACACACACACUCUCUCUAUCAGCACUCUGAACACUAAAACCGCAGGCCGUCAUAAAUCUUCUCCACGUGGACCCUUUCACCUAUUUGACCUCACACACACACGCACACAUGUAUAUCCACACACACACACACACACACACACACACACACACACACACACACUCUCUCUCUCUCUCUCUCUAGAGGACACCAUCCUCACUCAGCCCCUCAGGCAGGAUGUAUAAAACCGUACUGCAUUCCUUUCCAGUUAGGUCCAGCCCAAAGUGAGCUUUCUACACAGUGACUGCUGUGUCAAAGUGUGUGUGUGUGUGUGUGGUGGUGUUAACAUAACUGAGUGCUUCUGGGAAUCCCUUUGUUGCUGUGUGUUGUGUACUCCUUUCUGCAGGGCACGUCUGACAUAAACUGUGACGCCCCCCCUCCCUCCCUCCCCUCCUUCCUAUAUGCUCUCUCUGAUGACUAUGGAAUUUACCCACAAUGCUCUGGCAGAGAAAAAAAGAAGUGAUGAUUGCAGUAAUUUUAACCCUGCGAUGAGCGUGUGCGCAUCGUCCCUGCGCUCGGCUCUGCUCUUUAAAAAAAAACAAAAAACAGGCCUGCCGACUGAAUAAACACCGCUUUGUUUGCCUAGGAAAUCCCAUUUGUCAGUAAUAAUCUGGUUUUCGGGCCGGGCAGUGCCGGAAUACAAACUGCUUCACAAUGUUUUACGGUAAAUUAGAGCUUAUCCAGUAAAUAUUGACUCAAUUGAGCAACAGAGAAAAAGAGGAGAGACACACAGUGAAGCAACACACGGGGCAAACGCAUUGACUUUUGUAAAAAUAGUGCUCUUUAAUAUAAAUUAUUGAAAUAUUUUAGAAAUAUAAAUAUGUGCAACGUUUCCAUUUAUUUUAUUUAUUUCUUUUUUUUUUGUAAUGCUUUGUCAUUUUCAGAUAUUACAGCUUGUGUUCUGCCAGACUAGUGGCCAGCCUUUGAGCGAGAGAGUCUUUAUAAAAGACAAAUGGUUUCACAUACAUGUGUGGUUCCACCGGCUGCGACACAUGUACCAACAAAAAAAAAAAAAAA
Long non-coding RNA from Acanthopagrus latus (yellowfin seabream), 3639 nucleotides. RefSeq lists it as uncharacterized. NCBI's taxonomy places the organism in Eukaryota, Metazoa, Chordata, Actinopteri, Spariformes, Sparidae. The transcript has 2 exons. The record is from RefSeq and is a predicted model, not a curated record.